Molecule: ribosomal RNA, 468 nt
Filed under: uncultured bacterium
Lineage: Bacteria
Description: partial 16S ribosomal RNA
Rfam family: Bacterial small subunit ribosomal RNA
Source: RNAcentral
GACGAACGCUGGCGGCGUGCUUAACACAUGCAAGUCGAACGGAAAGGCCCUGCUUUUGUGGGGUGCUCGAGUGGCGAACGGGUGUGUAACACGUGAGUAACCUGCCCUUGACUUUGGGAUAACUUCAGGAAACUGGGGCUAAUACCGGAUAGGAGCUCCUGCUGCAUGGUGGGGGUUGGAAAGUUUCGGCGGUUGGGGAUGGACUCGCGGCUUAUCAGCUUGUUGGUGGGGUAGUGGCUUACCAAGGCUUUGACGGGUAGCCGGCCUGAGAGGGUGACCGGCCACAUGGGUACUGAGAGACGGCCCAGACUCCUACGGGAGGCAGCGGUGGGGAAUAUUGCACAAUGGGCGGAAGCCUGAUGCAGCAGCGCCGCGUGCGGGAUGACGGCCUUCGGGUUGUAAACCGCUUUCGCCUGUGACGAAGCGUGAGUGACGGUAAUGGGUAAAGAAGCACCGGCUAACUACGUG